This 103-nucleotide small nuclear RNA is filed under the name Aegilops tauschii subsp. strangulata. The record is from RNAcentral. Lineage: Eukaryota; Viridiplantae; Streptophyta; Magnoliopsida; Poales; Poaceae.
GUCCCUUUGGGGACAUCCGAUAAAAUUGGAACGAUACAGAGAAGAUUAGCAUGGCCCCUGCAGAAGGAUGACACGCACAAAUCGAGAAAUGGUCCAAUUUUUU